RNAcentral lists this ribosomal RNA (501 nucleotides) under uncultured bacterium. Its description in RNAcentral is "partial 16S ribosomal RNA". It matches the Rfam family "Bacterial small subunit ribosomal RNA", at positions 30 to 523 of the family's 1533-position model. The record is from RNAcentral.
AUUGAACGCUGGCGGCAUGCCUUACACAUGCAAGUCGAACGGCAGCACGGGUGCUUGCACCUGGUGGCGAGUGGCGAACGGGUGAGUAAUACAUCGGAACGUACCUUAUCGUGGGGGAUAACGCAGCGAAAGUUGCGCUAAUACCGCAUACGCCCUGAGGGGGAAAGCGGGGGACUGUAAGGCCUCGCGCGAUCAGAGCGGCCGAUGUCUGAUUAGCUUGUUGGUGAGGUAAAAGCUCACCAAGGCGAUGAUCAGUAGCUGGUCUGAGAGGACGAUCAGCCACACUGGGACUGAGACACGGCCCAGACUCCUACGGGAGGCAGCAGUGGGGAAUUUUGGACAAUGGGGGCAACCCUGAUCCAGCAAUGCCGCGUGAGUGAAGAAGGCCUUCGGGUUGUAAAGCUCUUUUGUCAGGGAAGAAACAGCAGCUCUAACACAGUCUGCGAAUGACGGUACCUGAAGAAUAAGCACCGGCUAACUACGUGCCAGCCGCCGCUGUAA